Molecule: RNA transcript, 1330 nt
Organism: Mastomys coucha (southern multimammate mouse)
Lineage: Eukaryota; Metazoa; Chordata; Mammalia; Rodentia; Muridae
Gene name: histone deacetylase 3 pseudogene
Exons: 1
Source: RefSeq, a predicted model, not a curated record
AUGGCCAAGACCGUGGCGUAUUUCUCCGACCCCAAUGUGGGCAACUUCCACUACGGAGCUGGACACCCGAUGAAACCCCAUCGCCUGGCAUUGACUCAUAGCCUAGUCUUGCAUUAUGGUCUCUAUAAGAAGAUGAUCGUCUUCAAGCCUUACCAGGCCUCACAGCACGACAUGUGCCGCUUCCAUUCUAAGGACUACAUCAACUUCCUGCAGAGAGUCAGCCCCACCAAUAUGCAGGGUUUCACCAAGAGCCUUAAUGCCUUCAACGUGGGUGAUGACUGCCCAGUGUUUCCCGGGCUCUUCGAGUUCUGCUCCCGUUACACAGGCGCAUCUCUGCAAGGAGCAACACAGCUAAACAACAAGAUCUGUGAUAUUGCCAUCAACUGGGCUGGUGUUCUACAUCAUGCCAAGAAAUUUGAGGCCUCUGGCUUCUGCUAUGUCAAUGACAUAGUGAUUGGUACCCUGGAGCUGCUUAAGUACCACCCUCGGGUGCUCUACAUUGAUACUGACAUCCAUCAUGGUGACGGGGUUCAGGAAGCCUUCUACCUUACUGACUGGGUCAUGACUGUGUCCUUCCACAAAUAUGGAAAUUACUUCUUUCCUGGAACAGGUGACAUGUAUGAAGUUGGAGUGGAGAGUGGCCGCUACUAUUGUCUCAAUGUGCCCUUAAGGGAUGGCAUUGAUGACCAGAGUUACAAGCACCUUUUCCAGCCAGUCAUCAGCCAGGUGGUGGACUUCUACCAGCCAACGUGCAUCGUGCUCCAGUGUGGAGCUGACUCCCUGGGCUGGGAUCUAUUAGGGCUGCUUCAAUCUCAGCAUUCGAGGACACGGGGAAUAUGUUGAAUAUGUCAAGAGUUUCAAUAUCCCUGUCCUAGUGCUGGGAGGUGGUGGCUACACUGUCCGAAACGUUGCCCGGUGCUGGACAUAUGAAACAUCUCUGCUGGUAGAAGAGGCCAUUAGUGAGGAACUUCCCUACAGUGAAUACUUUGAGUACUUUGCCCCAGAUUUCACACUCCACCCAGAUGUCAGCACCUGCAUCGAGAAUCAGAACUCACACCAGUAUCUGGACCAGAUCCGCCAGACAAUCUUUGAAAACCUGAAGAUGCUGAACCAUGCACCGAGUGUCCAGAUUCACGACGUCCCGGCAGACCUCCUGACAUACAACAGGACUGAUGAGCCCGAUACUGAAGAGAGAGGCCCUGAGGAGAACUACAGCAGGCUGGAAGCACCCAAUGAAUUCUAUGACAGAGACCAUGACAAUGACAAGGAAAGUGAUGUGGAGAUUUAGAGUCGCAGGGAUGCUGCGUCCCCAAGAGGUCCUUGUCACCUC